Coregonus clupeaformis (lake whitefish) is the source of this 286-nucleotide long non-coding RNA. RefSeq lists it as uncharacterized. The transcript has 3 exons. NCBI's taxonomy places the organism in Eukaryota, Metazoa, Chordata, Actinopteri, Salmoniformes, Salmonidae. The record is from RefSeq and is a predicted model, not a curated record.
CAACCGAGAUUUCAGCAGUACUUGAACAGAUAGACAUCAUGGCGUCUAAAAAUGAUCCAUGCUGCUACACAGGAGAAAUGUAUGAUGGAGAGAUCAGGAAACGGCAACUGGAAACAGAUUGGGGUGACCGAUCACAAAGCGAGGAGAAAACUUUAUCAGUUCCAGGUAACUUGCCUGAAGAUGCUGUUGCAAACAAAGAAAAGGGAGAAGAAAUGAGACUUGAGGAAAUCGACAGGAGUUUAAAUGAAAAUAACAUCCCGGAAAAUAUACAACUACCAAAAGUAGA